UAAGCCCCUCGUGAGGGGUGAUGCCGGUACCGGGGGAAUAAGGAUCGGCUAACUCCGUGCCAGCAGCCGCGGUAAUACGGAGGAUCCGAGCGUUAUCCGGAUUUACUGGGUUUAAAGGGUGCGUAGGCGGGCGCCUAAGUCAGCGGUGAAAUGCAGCGGCUCAACCGUUGAACUGCCGUUGAAACUGGGCGCCUUGGAUGCGGUCGAGGCCGGCGGAAUGCGUGGUGUAGCGGUGAAAUGCUUAGAUAUCACGCAGAACGCCAAUUGCGAAGGCAGCUGGCCGGGCCGCAAUCGACGCUGAGGCACGAAAGCGUGGGGAUCAAACAGGAUUAGAUACCCUGGUAGUCCACGCCGUAAACGAUGAUGGCUAGCUGUUGGCGAUACACAGUCAGCGGCUGAGCGAAAGCGGUAAGCCAUCCACCUGGGGAGUACGGUCGCAAGAUUGAAACUCA
This 452-nucleotide ribosomal RNA is filed under the name uncultured bacterium. RNAcentral describes it as "bacterial SSU rRNA". It matches the Rfam family "Bacterial small subunit ribosomal RNA", at positions 450 to 903 of the family's 1533-position model. The record is from RNAcentral.